AGAAGCAUACUGUUUUUCUGAAAUUUGUUGGAUUGUGAGUUGAAGUCAGUAACAACCAAGUGAUUGACUAAUUGUAAUAUUAACUAAAACACUUCUAUUAUUAGGAAAUGCCCUUUGUUGAAUUGUUGUACUGUGUGUGAUAUGCAGUUAUUUGCAGCUUAUAAUGGUAGGACAGAACGAAUGAGCCUGACAUGGUUGUAGACGAAGCGGUCACUUGUUUGUGGAUUGUCAAAAUAAGGCCCCUUGCCCGUGGUGUAAAGCUGUACAUGUGA
RNAcentral lists this long non-coding RNA (272 nucleotides) under Olea europaea (common olive). RNAcentral describes it as "long non-coding RNA (OEUR_LNC013465)". Lineage: Eukaryota; Viridiplantae; Streptophyta; Magnoliopsida; Lamiales; Oleaceae. The record is from RNAcentral.